RNAcentral lists this ribosomal RNA (334 nucleotides) under uncultured eukaryote. RNAcentral describes it as "partial 18S ribosomal RNA". It matches the Rfam family "Eukaryotic small subunit ribosomal RNA", at positions 1470 to 1796 of the family's 1831-position model. The record is from RNAcentral.
CCCUUAGAUGUCCGGGGCCGCACGCGCGCUACACUGAAGGAAUCAGCGUGGCUUUCUCCCUGACCCGAAAGGGUUGGGAAACCCGUUGAAUCUCCUUCGUGAUAGGGAUUGGGGCUUGAAAUUGUUCCCCAUGAACGAGGAAUUCCCAGUAUGCGCGAGUCAUAAGCUCGCGUUGAUUACGUCCCUGCCCUUUGUACACACCGCCCGUCGCUACUACCGAUUGAACGGUUUAGUGAGGGCCUCGGAUUGGUCUCGGCCCGCUCUUUACCGGGCGGCGCCGUUGGUCGAGAAGACGCUCGAACUUGAUCGUUUAGAGGAAGUAAAAGUCGUAACA